GGCUAGAUAGCUCAGUUGGUUAGAGCACUGUCCCCAUAUGCCAAGUUUCGGGUUCGAUUCCCAGUCAAGUCA
Molecule: non-coding RNA, 72 nt
Organism: Myotis lucifugus (little brown bat)
Lineage: Eukaryota; Metazoa; Chordata; Mammalia; Chiroptera; Vespertilionidae
Source: Rfam